This 21-nucleotide unclassified non-coding RNA is filed under the name Dictyostelium discoideum. Lineage: Eukaryota; Evosea; Eumycetozoa; Dictyosteliales; Dictyosteliaceae. The record is from RNAcentral.
UACUACUGUUUCCUGUAGUGU